GGAUGCGCCUAGGUAUAACGCAUCAUAUAUAUUUUAAAUUUCUUAGAUGCUGAAACUAUAUAUAACACACUACACAUGUACACUUGCAUGUAGGCAUACAGAGAAGUAGUUACAAGGGCUCGCCAAAUUCCCAGGCUUUGCAUUUAAUAAAUCAUCGGUCGAGAAUAAAAUCUUAUGUCCUUGCAAAAACUGUGUGAACUCAUACUGGAGAGAAGAGUCUGAAGUCCGUGAGCACCUGGUAUGCGAGGGAUUUGUAGAUGGCUACAAACAGUGGAUGUUUCAUGGAGAAUGUGUCUCUUCUUCUUCCAUUCCUCCAAAUCUAGAUGAGGGUGACGAUAGGGAUGAGGGCGAUGAUAUAUCUGAUUUGCUAAGAGACCUUGCUGCUAGUUUGGAUAAAGGGGGAGAUCUUGAAGAUGAUUGUGGUUUAGAUCAGGAUGAUUCUUUUCUAGAAUCUCUCCACAAACUUGAAGCUGAUUCUAGACAAGAGCUAUAUCCAGGCUGUAAGAAUUUCUCAAAGCGUCGUUUCCUAGUGAGACUUCUUCUCACCAAACUGCUUGGAGGGUGGUCUGAUAGAAGUUUUGAUCUGCUGUUAGAUCUACUAAAAGAUGCUUACCCUCAGUCCGCAAUACCCAAAAACUCCAAUGAAGCUAAAAAACUAGUCAAAUGCCUAGGACUUGGGUAUGUUAAUAUCCAUGCAUGUGAAAAUGAUUGCAUUCUAUUUUGGAAGAACAAUGCCAAUGCCAAUUCAUGCCCAGAAUGUAAGGCUUCAAGAUGGAAAUCUGAAAGGAAGAGUGCAGAUGGGAAACGUGUCCACAAGGUUCCUAAGAAGGUUCUUCGUUACUUCCCAAUAAAGAAGAGGCUUCAAAGGUUGUUUGUGUGUUCCAGAACUGCGGCUCUCACAAGAUGGCAUGCGGAAGAGCGCACACAAGAUGGCAUGCGGAAGAGCGCACACAAGAUGGCUUGAUUAGGCAUCCUAAAGAUUCCCUCCUUUGGAAAGAUUUUGAUGAAAAAAAUAAAGAUUUUGCAAAAGACAACAGAAAUCUUAAGCUUGUAGUACGUGCCGAUGGUUUUAAUCCGUUUAGAUCCAUGAAUCUCAGCUAUAGCAUUUGGCCAGUAUUAUUGAUUCCUUAUAACUUUCCACCCUGGAUGAUUAUGAAGCAAUCAAAUUUCAUCCUAUCACUGUUGAUUCCUGGCAGAAAUUCUCCUGGUAGUGAUAUUGAUGUCUAUCUUGAGCCACUAGUUGAUGAUAUGGUAGAUAUGUUUCUUGAUGGUGUUAGGACCUAUGAUGCUUCAACCGGAGAGUAUUUUCAGUUUCAUGCUGCCAUAAUAUGCACAAUUACGGAUAAACCAGGUCUUGGGUCUUUGGUUGCCUGUGCUUCCUCUGGAGAAGGAGCUUGCCCUGAAUGCCACUCUCAAUUAUGUUCUCUUAGGCUAAAAAAUGGUAGCAAGACUUGCUAUAUGGGGCAUCGUAGGUUCUUACAUGCAGAUCACCCCUUGAGGUAUGAUACACGCACAUUUGGUGACAUAGAACGUGGGACAGCAGCCGUUCCACUUUCCGGUAGGCAAAUCUUAGAGCUGACAGAAAAUAUGCAAACCAAGUUUGGGAAGGAUCCUAUAACGAAGAAGCCUAGAACUAAGAAACGCAAGAAAGGGGAUCCGCUGAUCAUUUGGAAAAGAAAGUCUAUUUGGUUUAAACUACCAUAUUGGAAGGAUUUGAAGAUGCAUCAUAACUUCGAUGUCAUGCACAUAGAAAAAAAUGUGUGUGAGAACAUAGUUAACACUUUGUUGGCAGUCAAUGGAAAAACCAAGGAUAAUAUUAAUUCUCGAUAUGACCUUCAAGCACUCAGUAUUAGAAAGGAUCUUCAACCUAUUGAUCUUGAUGAUGAUGAAGUUUUUUUUCCUCCGGCACCUUACACAAUGGAAUCUGAUCAGCAGAGGACAUUUUGCAAAGUAUUUAAAAAUGCCAUGUUUCAUAAUGGUUAUGCAUCUGACAUACGCCGUAAUGUGCAUUUUAAGGAGAAAAAGAUAACUGGGCUAAAGAGCCAUGACAACCAUGUCCUUUUGCAAGACUUGCUGCCACUUGCAGUGAGAAGAACAUUACCAGAAAGAGUGAGUGCGGUACUGAUUCGUGUGAGCAGAUUUUUCAAGCGAAUGUACUCACAGGUUAUUCGCAUAAGUGACAUGCAAAGGUUGCAGGAUGAAAUAGCUGAGACCUUGAGCCUUCUUGAGGCCAUAUUCCUCCCAUCAUUUUUCGAUAUUAUGGUGCAUUUGAUGGUUCAUCUUCCAGCACAAGCAAUGAUAGCUAGUCCAGUACAUUUUCGCAGCAUGUGGGCUGUAGAGAGGUAUAUAGGAAAGCUCAAGGGACAUGUCCACACCAGAAGUCAUGUGUAAGGAUCAAUUGCAGAGGGCUAUUUGUUUGAUGAGAGCUUGACAUUUUGCUCACACUAUUUGGAUGAUGAGAGUCGGUUGAAUCGAGCUAGGAAUGAUGGAGGUUUGGAUAUGGAAGUUGAUGAUACAACUCCUUUCUUCCACAACAUUGGUCGAGGGCUGGCUGGCAAGUGCAUGGUGAUGUUAGAUAACAAAACUUGGCUGCAAGCCCACAGAUACGUCUUGUUCAAUUAUGACAACAUAGAACCAUACCUAGAGUAAGAUAUCCCUACUAUGUAUUGCUAUUAGGUUAUUUCUCUCCUCCUUGUCAAUUGAUAAAUAUAACCUAUAUGCAGCAAACAUAUGAUUACCUUUCUUCUAUUGGUGUUCGAAGUCAUCGAGAAGUCAAGCGUGUGCAUUACGAGACCUUUCAUGAGUGGUUUAAAUUGCACGUAAGUGGGCAUGUGACUGUCAACCUAUAAGACAUAUAAUUCCAUCCCAUUGUAGAGUAACAAUAGCAUUUCAUAAUCACAGGUGGCAGAAAUGGGCGAUGAAGCACCUCAUGAGAUAAAAAUAUUAGCUAAAGAGCCAAACUUGGUUGCUAUGAAGUAUAGUAGCUACACUAUAAAUGGGAUAGACUUUCAUACACAAUCAUAUGAUGAGGGCCGGUCAUUUCAGAGUAGUGGAGUAGCUCUUGUUGCACAAACCACAUCCUUUGCAAAAGGAAAAGGUGACAAUAUUAGUGUAAGAAACAAGACCUAUUAUGGCAUUAUAAAGGAAAUUCUUGAGUUGAACUAUCAACAUGAAGGGAAAGUAGUGUUGUUCAAAUGUGACUGGGUUGAUAAUCAUGUAGAAGAUGAAUGGGUGCAAACUGAUCAGUUUGGAGUCACUUCUGUGAAUUUCAAGCAUUUGUUCAAUACCGGUGAGAAAAUAUCAAACGAGCCCUUCAUAUUAGCCACACAAGCAACUCAAGUUUACUAUGUUGAAGAUCCCAUUGAUGCUGAGUGGUCUACUGUUGUUGUUCCAUCAUUAUAUGACAUGGAAGAAUCUCAAGAUGAUAAUGGUAAUGUUUUACGUGUGACGUUGCCUGAUCCAUGUACUGCCAUACGUGUGAGUGUUGCGGAUGGAUGCAUUGGUUCUGCUAGGACAGAUAUAGAUGGACUAGUUCUUAAAGCAAGUGAUAUUGAAAAAAAGUAAGUUGUGUAUGAACUACUGAGAAGUAAGAGGAUUGAAGAAAAUGAUAAACGGCUAGCAGCGGUACGGGCAACAAGAGCUUCUAUGCAGGAAGAUAUGGAAGCAAACAAAGCCGCCAAAAAGAAAAGAAAGGCACCCUCCAGCGCACCUGUAAGCGCGAAUGAAGGACGUGUUUUGAGGUCUAGGGUAUCAAAAGAUCAAGAUCAUGUUGAUCCUGAGCAUCAGCCUUCCAAAGAGAUUACUCGUGAGCUGGAUGAUGAUGGUAGUCAAAAGAAAGGUGGAAGAAAAAUUACUCGAAAGGCUAACAUAUAUGCAAGGUUGAAUCAACCCAAAAUCCAUAUUCCACUUAAUGGGGAUGGGCAGCAUGUUGGGCCAGAUGCAACUGAAUUUGCCAAUUUCAUUGGUACUUUGGUGAGGAAGCAUAUACCACCUGCAGAGUUAGACUGGCGAGAUGUUGAUGUAGAAAAAAAGUUGUUAGUGUGGGAGACCUUGAAGGCAUUUUAUGAGCUGGACUCAACUGCUUUGAGCUUUGUUAUCAACACUUCACACAUAAAAUGGAAGGAUUGGAAGUCAGAUUUAAAGAGGUACAAGUUUGAUGCUGCGCUCACUGAUGCACAACUUAUGAAAAGACGUGACAGCAGAAUUAGUGAAGCUGACUGGAAGACCCUUAUUACUUAUUGGAGAUCUUCGGCAUUUGAAAAUCGUGCCAAUGCAGUACCUCAUACAUCUGGCAGCAAGAGUCAUGCCCGUGUUGCCAAUGAAAUGGCUGUCAAACUUGGGCAUGAUCCUCGGAGAGAUGAAGUUUAUAUCGAAACACAUACAUGCAAGAAAGGGGAAAGGAAAGGGAGUUAUGUGCCGCAGGCAGCAGCAACAAUUAAAGAACUCAUAGAGAGUGCUGAAAAACACCCUGAAUGGAAGGACAAAAGCAUUAAAGAAGGUGAUCUGUUUGCACGUGUAUGUGGACUGAAGGAGCCCAGGGGUCGUGUCCGUGUGUUAGGUCUAGGGCCAACACCUCAAGAUUUGGGCACACCGGGUACACGGGGUAAACUGAGCACAAGAGUUCUAGUUGCAAUGGAAGGGCGCCGAGAAGCUGAAAAUCGCUUUAACAUGCUCCAGGGGCAUGUGCAACAAAUGGAGGAACGAAUGAACCGAAUGGAAUUGAUGUUAGCUUCACAAGGAAGGCAUAAUCUGGAAACUCCUAUCUCGCAGCACGGUUCCAAUUCUCGACAAAACUCCGGAGUUGAAGCUGAGGAAGAUAACGAUGCUGAAGAAGAUGUUGAACAGGAUGAUGAAGAGCCAUUUGUUCAUAGAAGAGUUGUUGCAAAGCCCUCUGCAAGAAGCUCAUCAGCCCAUGAAGAUGAAAGCCUUAUUGGUAUGGAUGUGCUUCUAUAUGCAUGGACUGGUCCUGAAACUCCUGUUGCCAAGGCAACGAUUAUCUCAGUUGACCCAGACACUAUGGUGGGCGGAGAGCCCCUUGGACCAGCAACUUAUGAGGUUCUUGUCAAUGUUGCUAUCAGAAGGGAUGCCACUGUGCCUUAUGAAUAUGAUGGUUUACAAAUUAUCGCUGAUGCUGUCACAAGGACCAUUGCAUGGCCAUCUAGCAAGAUGAAACCCUACAAACCAGGGGCAUCUUCCUCAUCCCGCCGCUAAGGUAAGACAUACAAAAGGACCAUGAAGGAACCAUGAAGAUGGCAGUUCGUGUUUGCUAGACAUCUUGUGUAAUGGAGCAAAAACAGUGUCUUUUAGGAUCAUUUUGUGGACCUAUAUGGCGGCGUCUUGUCAUCUGGGUAUUUUGUGUAAUGGAGCAAACAAUGAAUCGAUGGACAUGCAUCUAUCAUUUUGUAAACCUAUCGAGUGAUUCGGUGACUGGAACAUAUAAAUGUUGGAAGGCUUAUGAG
Molecule: ribosomal RNA, 5459 nt
Filed under: Triticum aestivum (bread wheat)
Lineage: Eukaryota; Viridiplantae; Streptophyta; Magnoliopsida; Poales; Poaceae
Description: partial small subunit ribosomal RNA
Source: RNAcentral